AAUACAUGCAAGUAGAACGCUGAAGGAGGAGCUUGCUCUUCUGGAUGAGUUGCGAACGGGUGAGUAACGCGUAGGUAACCUGCCUGGUAGCGGGGGAUAACUAUUGGAAACGAUAGCUAAUACCGCAUAAGAGUAGAUGUUGCAUGACAUUUGCUUAAAAGGUGCAAUUGCAUCACUACCAGAUGGACCUGCGUUGUAUUAGCUAGUUGGUGAGGUAACGGCUCACCAAGGCGACGAUACAUAGCCGACCUGAGAGGGUGAUCGGCCACACUGGGACUGAGACACGGCCCAGACUCCUACGGGAGGCAGCAGUAGGGAAUCUUCGGCAAUGGACGGAAGUCUGACCGAGCAACGCCGCGUGAGUGAAGAAGGUUUUCGGAUCGUAAAGCUCUGUUGUAAGAGAAGAACGAGUGUGAGAGUGGAAAGUUCACACUGUGACGGUAUCUUACCAGAAAGGGACGGCUAACUACGUGCCAGCAGCCGCGGU
Molecule: ribosomal RNA, 487 nt
Filed under: unidentified oral bacterium SH19
Lineage: Bacteria
Description: bacterial SSU rRNA
Rfam family: Bacterial small subunit ribosomal RNA
Source: RNAcentral